This 388-nucleotide ribosomal RNA is filed under the name filamentous cyanobacterium WPS6. Its description in RNAcentral is "bacterial SSU rRNA". It matches the Rfam family "Bacterial small subunit ribosomal RNA", at positions 355 to 758 of the family's 1533-position model. The record is from RNAcentral. Lineage: Bacteria; Bacillati; Cyanobacteriota.
UGGGGAAUUUUCCGCAAUGGGCGAAAGCCUGACGGAGCAAUACCGCGUGAGGGAGGAAGGCCUUUGGGUUGUAAACCUCUUUUCUGGGGGAAGAAGUACUGACGGUACCCCAGGAAUCAGCAUCGGCUAACUCCGUGCCAGCAGCCGCGGUAAUACGGAGGAUGCAAGCGUUAUCCGGAAUUAUUGGGCGUAAAGCGUCCGCAGGUGGUCCAUCAAGUCGGCUGUCAAAGACCGGAGCUCAACUCCGGGCAGGCAGUGGAAACUGGUGAACUAGAGUACGGUAGGGGUAGAGGGAAUUCCCAGUGUAGCGGUGAAAUGCGUAGAGAUUGGGAAGAACACCAGUGGCGAAGGCGCUCUACUGGGCCGUAACUGACACUCAGGGACGAAA